RNAcentral lists this long non-coding RNA (12166 nucleotides) under Homo sapiens (human). RNAcentral describes it as "non-protein coding lnc-CDH4-4:5". The record is from RNAcentral. Lineage: Eukaryota; Metazoa; Chordata; Mammalia; Primates; Hominidae.
GUAGACGGGAUGGUUGUGAGCGGGACAGAAACUCCACCACAAGGGUUCUGGGGGUACUACAGGGACUAAAGGAAGCAGUGUGAUCAGUGUGAAAGCAGCAAGGCCAUGAUUUAUUUCUUGGGCGUGUAGUUUUCUCCCGAGGCCUCUGCUUGGUUAUUUUACCCAGCAUCGGUGCCAAAGGAGAUUUCCCCAAAGGGAAAAGUACUGCAGUGCUCGACGCAUUACAGUCCUUUCCCGUUUGCAAGCUCUCCCACACAUUCCUUCUUCUGUUCCCAAAUCACAGGAGACGACGAGAAAGAGAACAGACCACCUGUCCAGAUAAUUUGCCUUUGGAGUCUGCAGGGCUGGUGAAGGCAUCCUGAGAUGGGGGAGGCCCCUGGGGACCUCCACAGUCAGGGCUCCCACCUCCUCUCCCACACCGCUCUGCCUCAUGCCCUGGGUUGCCUGUCUGACUGUCUCAAGACUGGGGGUUCUCCGGUGAGCAGAUGGCUGCUUAGCGUCUAUGCCGUGUGCCUGGCUUUUUCCAACCACUCCGAAUUGAUCAUUUCCUAAUGACCACAUGGCUCAGAAACUCACAGCACAUCCUUCUAGGGGCCUCUUUCUCCCAAGUCCUCCCAGGGACUUGGCAGCUUCAUCUCUAAGGCCUGCAGAGGCUGUGGCUAUGGCUGUCCAUUGUUCUCGCUCCUUGGCUUCAGUUCAGAGCCAUCAAAUCCCUGCAGCUCGCACACUGGAACAUUCAUAUUUUGGAUAAGUCAACAAAACAGCUUCUAGAAAAUGGAAAACCCAGAGUGUGAUCUACCAGGAGCUCCUGGUUUCAACCAGUUCCUUGCUGUACCUGCUGGGCCUGUGAUACGAAGAAACAUCAUGGCUUCAAUGGCAGCCUUGGAAAUGAACUUCAUUGAAAGGGAAUUUACACUGAGGUUUAUGAUUGCUGCUAUGAAAAGAGUGCACAUCCUUUCCUUCGAAACACAAGACUAGAAAAAAAAAACUCUAAAAUUCAUACGGAACCACAGAAGACCCUGAAUAGCCAAAGCAAGCUUGAGAAAAAAGAUUUAAAAGAAAAGCUGGAGACAUCACAGCUCUUAGGUCAAAUUAUACUACAAAACUAUGGUAAUCAAAACACUAAGGUACUGGCAUAAAAACAAAUACGUAGACAAAUGGAACAAAACAGAUAGCCCAGAAAUAAGCCCAACCAUACAUGGUCAACUAGUUUUCCACAAAGGCACCAAAGAAUCAUAAUGAGGAAAGGAUGGCCUCUCCAAUAAAUGACCUUGAGAAAACUGUAUAUCCACAUGCUAAAAAAAGAAAAAAAAAAAAAAAAAGGAAAUUGGACCCUUCUCUUCCAACAUGCACAAAAAUCAACUCAAGAUGGACUAAAGACCUAAAUGUAACACCUGAAACCAUAAAAGUCCUAAAGGAAAACACACAAGAAAAACUCUAUGACAUUGGCCUUGGCAGUGAUGUUUUGGAUAUUUCAAGUUAACUCGUCAUUCACUGACUCCACAUAAAAUCCAUCCCUCAAAUAUUCUCAGAACCUAUCACCAAGACUGUGAUCACUUCUUUGGGAUGCUUUAAAGUUAAUUAGGAAAAAUAAAACUGGGUUUUACCUUUGAAAAACUUUCUAACUGUACUGAUGUGCUCAAAUAGAUGGACACAUGAAUGAAAAAUCCAGAAUUUAUUCUUUCCAUGUGGUCUAGGUCCCUCCAUAUGUUUCUCUGGAUUUUGCCAUUCACUGAAUGCACACGAACACUGAAUUUACUCUCUAUUGCUGUGUAACAAGUUAUUGUAAAAUGUAUUGGCUUAAAACAACAAAUACCAUUUUUGCAGCUUCUGUGGAUCAGGAAUCAUGAAGCAGCUUAGUCGGGUAUUUCAGGCUCAGGGCCUCUCAUGAGGUUGCACUGUAGAUGUGAGCCAAGGCUGCCGUCAUCUGAAGACUGGACUAGGGAUGGAAGCUCUGCAUUUGGGAUCAUACUCAUGGCUGUGGCCCGGAGGCCUCAUUUUUUCACCCUUGGGCCUCUCCGUGGGGCUGCUGCCAACAGGGCCUCCCUAGAAGGAAUGACCCAAGAAGAAGAAAGAAAGACCAAGCUAGAAACCACCGUGUCUUUCAUAACCCAAUAUCAGGAAUGAAGAAGCACCUCUUCUGUGUUCUUUUGGUCUCGCAGACCAACCCUGGUACCAUGUGGAAGGAAAUUACACAAGAGUGUGACUAUCAGGAAUUGAGGAUCACUGGGGCACCUGGAGGCUGGAGUCUACAGGUACUUUAUGGCGAGUCAUGGCGAUGGUGAGGAAGCAGCUACUUUCAUCACAGGCUUGCUGGAGGGAGGUUGCUGUGGCCACAGGAGGUGCACCGCGGAUUACAGGACUAAAGGCCUUCUCUGCUUCUUCACAGUGAUCCAUCUCUGCCCAGCACCCAAGUACUGAGUUAACCUACAACGUGGUUCAGAAUUAAAACAUAAAAUGCCAGGGCCCUCCCCCAGUUAGCAGUAUUGGUUGGAAACAUGUUUAGCAGUGAGUAACAGAAGUCCCAAGAAAUAAUGGCUAAAACAAACAAGAGUAUGUGUCUUCACAUAGUAAGGUAUCAAGAGGUGGCUGUCACUUUAAGUUCACUUUCUCAUGGAUGCCAUCAAACACCAGGUUUAUUCAACCUUCAUGCACUGCCAUCACCUUCCCAUCCACGGACUCUUCCGACAUCUGCUGAACGUCAUCACAAGGGGGCUGCCAUAGCUCCACCCGUUGUAUCAGCAUUCAGGGAAGGAGGACAGUGCCAACAAUAUGUCUGCUCAUUUUUUUAAGAGAGGAAAAGACUCUCCUGGAAGUCCACGGCAGCAUUAUGCUUACUUCUUACUUGCCAGAACUUUGUCAUAUGGUCAGACUUUAAAGCAGAGAGGUAAGAAAAUAAAUAAUCCAUCUUCAAGUCUCUAUAGUGGAUGGCAUCAGAAAAGGGGGCAGGGAUGCCUGUUUUAUAAGUCAUCUCACGUUUUCUGCUGCGUCAGCCAACUUAAUAAUUAAUCUACAUUGCCCCCCAUUUACAUUUUUUGCAAAGCAAAAAUGGCAGACUUACACCAGAACCCUAAGGGUACCAUGACACCAUGCAGGCUUUCAUUCAUUCCUUCAUGCUUCCAUUCCCUUAUUCAUUCAUUCAUAUCACAAAUAUGUGUUGGUGGCCUCCUGUAUUUCAGGCCUUUGCUGUCAGUGGAAUACAGCAACACACAAGACAGACACAGUUGCCUUCCCGCUGAGGCUGGACGUCUACAAAGAAACUCUGGACAGCUAUUUGCCAAGGCGAUGGGCACUACAGAUGAGACGCACAAAUGAUAUGACUCAUGGGUGACGCUGGGCAAACCUCGGUGGUUGAGUCCUGUUGGGUUUUCUCAUAGGAGGUGAGUUGGAAGCGGAGACCUACAAGUAGGUCAGAUAGGAUGGUGUGAAAAGAGCCCCACCCAGCCUACAGGGACCACAUGUAGGGAUAAAGAAAGGAGCAGGAUAAUUUCCAAGGACUAGAAUCCCAGCUUGGUUGGAGUUCAGAGCCUGAGAGCAGAAUUUUCUCCAGGACAAGGCAGAAGGAACUUGCGGGAAGCUUCCCCUAUCACCCCUGCUCCCCACACCUGUAGAGAUUAAAUGAAGAUAUCUGUUUCUUAAGCACCUGUACCCCCACCACAGCCUCUGGAAUGUGAUAGGCAUGUAUUUGAUGAAUGAAUGAAUGAAUGAAUGAAUUUCACUCAGCUGACUCUCUCUAAAUUCCAGCUUCCAGUCUGCCUCUUCUGUUGCACAGAAAGCUUUGAGAACCCAGGCUAGGUUUACCAGUUGUUUCUUCUGAGUCUAACACAAAAGACAUGCUUAUUAAUAGCUGUGGAAUUGAUUUGAAUUACAUGCAAACUCCCUCAGAAAAAGACCCAUGUCUAACUGAUCUUUGUACCCUUCAUCCUUGUACUUCAAAGACUUGCACAUAUGCGUCUUCCAUGCACAUUGGGUUGGGGAGGUGGUGAAAAAGAAUGAAGGAAGCCACACUCAACCCGGUUUCCACACUCUCUCCUUCGCUCCUUAGCAGCCACUGGGUGCAUAGGAAAGGGCGGUCUUGUUCUCCCCUAAAGCCCCUGAAGCCCAUGUUUAUUUAUAGCCAGAUUUCUGACACAGACAGACCCCUCUGAAGAACCAUUAAAAUGAGUUCUAAGUAAUGAACAUCAUACCAUGUAGCAGAGACAUCCCCCACUACUUCAAAUUUCCUGCCAAAACAUGCCAAUACACUGGAAGCCAAUUUAUUCUAAAUUACCAAACUAUGCACUUGCAGUUAAUGAAAAGGCUAUUUCUGAAGAUGUGUGCGUGCACACUGAUAUAUUCAGAAGCAAAUGACACCCGUGCUGGUGGAUACACGUUGGUAUUUCACACAACCUCAUUUAAAACCUGCAAGGGACUCAGCCUAGAUUAACUGCAGACUUCGGCAGUCAUGAGGGAUAUGACUAAAAGCCCUUUGAGAGAGGAAAUCCUCUUAAUAAUAUUGCUCUGCCCUGCUGGGAAGAGACAGGGUGAGCCGGCACCUGCCCAUCUCUCUUGUCUUGCCCUCUCCUCUGCCUCACUCUGACAGUGGAGGGGCUGCAGGUUGUGUCAGGUGGUGGGCUCUGUAAGGUCGACAAGCAACCUGGAAAUUUAGGUGGCUGUCUUAGACCUAUUUCUCUCUAUCUAGGUGGGCCAGACUCAGCCUCUGUUCUUCCUGAGCCUGGGUUUCUCUUCUGAAAGCCCACAGCUAGGUCAGCAGGGCCAGCCUGGGCAUCAAGUGGAGACCACAGAAGGAGCCAAGCACACACAGGCCACAGCCAAGCUCAGCCUAGCCCUGGGGCUGGAACCCUGAGUCCUGUUCCGUGGACAGCAUCUUCCCAGCCCCCUCCUUCCCCAGACCCAGUUGGCAUCGUUGGCAUCCAAACUCCACUUCCUGAUCCCAGGCCCUCAGUGCCUUCCUCACACACACACACAGACACAUACACAUACACCCUCUCUCACACACACACCCUCAUUCAAACAUGCAUACACACACACCUAUACACACAUUCACACACACACACCUGUAUGCACGCACAUAUACACACAUUCACACACACAGGUAUGCACAUACACACACGUACACACAUUCACACACACCUAUAUAUACAUUCACACUUACAUGCACACUCACACCUAUAUACAUCCACACACAUCCCUAUACAUAUAUUCACACACACUUAUACACACAUUCACACACUCAUGCACACUCACACCUAUACACAUCCACACACACCCCUAUACAUACAUUCACACACACCUAUACACACAUUCCCACGCUCACACACUCCUAUGCACACAUUCACACACUUACACAAACACACCUAUACACUCAUUUGCACUUACUGUCACACACACCUAUACACACAUUCACACACGCUUGCACACUAUCUCACACACCUAUACACACAUUCACACACUGUCACACACACACUCACAUACACUCCCCUUAACGUAGGCAACACUGUCCACUACCUCCGCUCUUCAGCAGAGGCAAAUCCAGGUUUUGUGGGACCUAAAACUCAUAAUACAACUUUUGGAGCCUUCUUUAAAAAGAAAAACAGGCUUAAAAAUAAAUGCUAAUUUAAAAUUGGAAAAUAAGUCACAAUAAAUUAUGGUAGCCCUUGGAGUUCAGGUUCUUUCUUCUAAGAUUCGUUGGGCCUUGCUAUCAUGAAUAUGAGUCCCGAUUGCAUUCUGGCUUUCCCUCCCCAGCCAGGACGUUCUAUGGCUCCCAGCAGCUCCAGCCCUCAGAAGUCACCGGCCCUGAGGCUUCAGCUUUGUUAGCCUCCAGAGCUUUCCAAGGUGAAAGUGUUGGACACUCUUUCUUCAUCUCAGAUUUAAUCAACUAAGAAUGCUGCAAAUUGAACACCAGUCCACAAAACUCAGGAAUACAUGAAAAGCAUUGUGCCUUAUUUUUAACUAACUCAAAUUCUAUGUCAGUCUCCCUUUUAUGCUGGAUGUUGGCGCUAAAUCUCAGUGGGUUCCUCAUUCUGCCAGACCUGUGUCCAGUUUGGGGGCUUCACAUAGAGCCACCCCAUCACAGGAGAGGGAAGGGUCUUGCUCUUGGUUGCCAUCACUCCACCCUCUUGUCUUCCGAGCUUUGAUGUUCACUUUCCUUUUCACCACUCGGAAGCUUCCUGCCAUGAUACAUUGAGACCUCAAUGUUAAUGCCAAUUGGGGUUUGGGGUUCUCAUAAACUCAGAAGUCCAGGAAAAUCGCCUGCUGCCUCCCACAACACUCUGAGGGCAUUCUGGAAUCCUACCACUUACCUGGAGCCUGCUGGCCUCAACUGUUUUGAAGUCUGUGUCUGGGCCAUGCAGGUAAAUGGGAGGAUGUUCUGUGGCCAUAAAAAUACCCGAAGUCCCACCUAAAGUUGAUGCAGGGUCUUCUGCAUUUCAUUGCAAAAUUGUUCUAUCAUUUCUAUAGUUUUCAGCCUACAGUCAGGGGCCAGGACUUUGCACCCUUGGUAAACCUCAAUCUCUUCUCCUUCCUGGCUUCUACUCCUUUCUCCCUCAAUCCCAAAUCAAGGCCCUUGAUUGUCUGGAGGUAGGAAAGCCUGGUUCUGGCUCAUGAUAUAGUCUACAUCAUAGCCUUUGUCAUCUCAUGGAUUCACUCAACAACCGUGUGUGGAUGGGGCCACCCAAUAUGUGCCAGGAGUUGAGGACACGCAGGGUUAUGAUGAUGAAAUAGAUAAGGGGCCCACACUCACGGACCCUGCAGGACAGUGGAGCUGUGGACCCAGCAUGCGAGUAAAGACCCAGUGAGCUCACCAGACAGAUCAUUUAAAUCAGGUGAUAGGACAGUGAAGGGCGGGGGCUGCAUUAGUUUUGGUGGCAAGAGAAGGAUUAUCUUCUGAGAGGAUCCACAAAGUAAAGAGGGCCGGUAUGACUGGGUAGAGUGAGGACCGUGGUUGAGGCAGAAGAUGGAGCUCUUUAUUGAGCUCUAGGGAGCCCGUCGGAUGGGACCUACGGGGCUUGAGGGAGCCCAUCGGAUGGGACCUACGGGGCUUGAGGGAGCCCAUCGGAUGGGACCUACGGGGCUUGAGGGAGCCCAUCGGAUGGGACCUACGGGGCUUGAGGGAGCCCAUAGGAUGGGACCUACGGGGCUUGGCGGACUUAAUUUUAAAUGUGGAAGAAGCCAUUGCAGAGCCUGAACCUGAGGUGUGGCAUGGUUCGAGUUACUUCAAACCAAAUUUAUUGAAAUCUCUUUGCAUAAAAUGCAAUGCGUAGAUCUUAAGAGUAUAGUUCAAUGAGAUUUGAUAAAUGUAUGCACCAGUGUAACAACUCCUCCAGUCAAGAUAAAGAAACGUCCCUCACUAUUUCCUCAUGCCCCUUCAUAGUCAAUAUCUGAUCCACUCAGCCUAGGCAACCAUUGAUCUGCUUUUAUCACCAUAGAUAUUUGGGUAUGAGUCUUUGUAUGAUCAGCUAUUUUUAUGUUGCUUGGGUAAAUAUUUAGGAAUAGAACUGCUGAGGCCAAGGAUAGAAUAUUUAACUUGAUUGCCGACUGUUUUUCCCAAGUGGUUGUACCACGUUCUGCCUCCACCAGCAUGUGUGAGUUUCCAGGGCUUCUUGUCCUUGCCAGAUACCAGGUGGUUGCAUGCCGUGUCCCAGUGGCUGUUGGGAAUCACAGUAGCUGGGCCCAAGAUGACUCUGGAGGACUUUACAUUUGCGCCCAUCUGUGGGUCCUCCUAUGCCAGUGUUUCCCAAAGCAUGGGCCAUGCGCAUUAUUCUUUCCAAAAUGAUGUCAUAUGGUGCAUAGGAAUGUCAUGGAAUACAAUGGAAUCACUCUGGAAGGAACUUUUCCCUUCUCAGGUGUUGUUUGAAUAUUCCUGAUGUGAUCGAGGAGAUUAACUGCUACUUAACAUCUCUGCACCGCUUGCUAAACUCCUUGUUAAAAUUAUGCUUUUUAUUUUGAAGGAGUUCUAGAUUCACAUGCGUUGUAAGAAAUAACAGAGAGAUUGCAUGUACUCUUCACCCAGUUUCUCCCAAUGGUAACAUCUUGCGAAACUAUGGUGCAAAAUCAAAACCAAAUCUCUUUUUAUAACAAAGAGAGGGUUCCCACCUCAAGCUCAGAUCCUUCCCUGUGUAGCUAGAACUUAGUAACAGUGUUUUAUUUUAUUAUAUUCAGUUUCAAGGGUUACAUUCUAUUUAUAACAAAUGAUACUGGUUUUCCCUUUACAAUAAUGAUAAAAUUUUAUUACUGAGUAAAUUGAUUUAUGUUUAAAAAUUGAGUUAUUUUAAAGAAUAUAUUAUAUAAAUGAUUGUGCUAGCUGUAUGAAAAUGAAAGUGAAUGAUACAUAAUUGAAUUUCAGGAAACACUGAAAACACUGAAGCUACACUAUCAAAUGGAAUGCUUUCCAGACCCUACUUUUUCUACAUUGAACAACUACUAUGAAUCUGAUACAUCAUGAAUAAACCCAUCAAUUCACUGCAUUUAUGCACGCAAUCGAUAUUUAUUGAGGGCCUUAUGAAUGUAACGAUUUUUCUGGGCCUUGAGGAUGACACAAAGAUGAAACAAAUCAGACAGAUAUCCUAAAUUCAAAUAAUGCAUAGCCUUGCAGGGAGACAUUCAUUCACUCCAUGAAUAUUUAUGAGCACCUGGCAGGUGGCAGGUGUAUUCUAAAAAUGAGGAGGAAGCAGCAGAGGCCAGUGGAGUGCAGCUGUUUGGGGGUUCACAUGUCACUGGUAAGACAGACAAAGAGCAGGAUUCAUGGCAUUUUCUAUGAAGAUGACAAAACUUCAUGGAAAAGUAAAUGCUUGGGGAGGAGACAUGGGGAGGCCUUGUUGUACAGGCAGGUCAGGGAUGGUCUAGCUGAGGAGGAGGCACCAGAGCUGAGGCUGACAUAAGAGAAGGAGCCAAACAUGCAAAGAAGCAGUGGGAAAGUGCUCCAGGCACAGCAACAGCAAAUGCCAAGGCUGUGAGCUGGGCAUGAAACGGGUAUAAUUAUUACACAGUAGCUCUAAUUCAGGAAGGAGGAAGGGCCAAGUGUCUGGAAGAUGCAGAGUUUGGAAUAUGGAAGGGAACAGGCAAAGCUGGAAACAGUCUGAGCCCAUAAAGGCUGCACAUCAGCUCUGUAGCCAUCGGUGGAGCUGAAAGAGACAGGACAAAGGCUCAUAGGAAAGGCAGGACCUGUCCUGAGCUUGAACAACAGAGACGACCUUGAGAAACCUAUUUGCAAAAUGCUUCAAGCAUAAAUGCCAUUUCCUACUAUAACUUUCCAUAGUAGCAGGUUGAAUUGAAUCCCCCAAAAUAUUACAUUCAAAUCCUAACCCCCAGUAUCUAUGAAUGUGCCUUUAUUUGGAAACAAUCUCUUUGUAGAUGUCAUCAAGUUAAGAUAACAUCAUACAGGAUUAGGGUGGGCCCUAAAUCCAAUGAUGUCCUUUUAAAAAGCUGGACACAGAAACACAGAGAGGAGAAUGCCAGUCUAAAGUGGAGGCAGAGCUUGGAGGGAUAUGCCUACAAUAAAACAAGAAACACCAAGGAUUUCUGGAGCCAAGAAAGAGGAAUGGAACAGAUUCUCCCUCAAAGCCCUCGGAAGGAACCAACCCUGCCAACUCUUGACUUCCAACUUCUGGCCUCAAGAACUGAAAUAACACAUUUCUGUGGUUUUAGUCCCCCAAGCUGUGGCAACUAUCUUCAGCAGCCCCAGGACGCUAACAUAGCUCUGCUUCCCUUUGCAGAGCUGGGCAGGGAUUCUGCCACCUGAGGGUUUGGCAUCCAAUUCUUCUGUGAGAUAUUUACUCUUAGUGCCUUAGGCGCCAAUUAUUGUCUUUGAUUAAUUUCAGGGCCUCAAAUUGUGAACCCCUCAGUUUUUCUAACAAUGCCCCUCCUAACCCCAGUCAAGGCCAGCAGUGUUGAAGGGUUCAUUGGGAGGGGACCUGCACUGGCUGUUUGGACUAUCAGCUCCACCAGUGCCUACUGUGGCCUGUGCUUUCUUAGCACAUUUUUAAAGAAAUAAGCUAUUGAACUUGUUGAAAUAAUAAAACAACCCAGGAAUCACCUGAUCCAAAUAAACAAACACCAAUUAACUGCCACUGUGGUGGGCAGAUUCUAGGAUGGUCCAAAUGCUACAGCCUUCUGAAAUUCACAUCCUGGAGUGAUCUCUUCACAAGUGUGGGAUGGACCUAGUGACUGGCUCCUAAUGAGCAGAAUAUGGUAGAAGGGAUAAGACGCUGCUUCUGAGAUUGGGUCAUAAAAAGGCUGUGGCUUUUGCCUUGGGCACUCUCUCCUGGCCACAUCCUAAGGCAGUCUCACAGACAGGCUCACUUGGUCAGGAAUGGUGGCCUCCCUACAGACACAUGAAUGAGCUUGCAAACAGACCCCAGUCAGCCUUGAGGUAACUGCAGGCCCAGUAACACCUGGGUGCAGCCUGGUGAGAGACCCCAAGCUGGAACCACCUAGCUCAGCCAUACCCAGAUUCCCAGCCCAUAGAAACUACAAGAUAAUAAAUGUUUGUUGUUUUCAGCCACUAGGUUGUUGGAAUAAUCAGCUAUUCAGCAAUAGAUACCCAGCGUCCUCACUGUGGGGCUGCAGAGUGCUUUGAAUACCAAAAUGUUUAUUAAAGAGGAAAAUUAUCUUGGAUGAGCAUAGAUCAGAUAAGGUCAGAUUAGGGUGCUGUACUUCAUUCAUUCAUUCAGUUAGGUACACUUCAUUCAUUCAUUCAGUUAGCCAGUCAGCCACACUCAUUCCUUUAUUCAUGCUGCUAUGUGCCAAGUAUUGUCCUGGGCACUGGAGAUAAUGAAAAUAAAAACAGCCCCUGUCCAUAAUGACAUCAUAGUCUAAUGAAGAUGACAGGGCAUAUUUAAAUAAUUGCUUUUGUGAGAUAAAUGCUAACAUAUGUUCAGUCACUUUUUCAACCAACAGACAUUUUCUGAGUGCUUGCCAUUGUGCCAACCUUGUGCUAAAUGCUGGGCUUCAUACCAUGGGCAAGACUGGCCUGGGUCCUUUUCUCGUGGAGGCCAUGGUCUGCGUAGGAGGCACUUCACCCUCCAAGUACACACAGGGAAAGAAUAACUGCUCUGUCUGGUCUUAAGGGAGGGCUUCCAAAACGAAGUUCUUGAAGGAAGCCUUGAAAAAAGAGUAGGAAGUACUCUUGUUCCAGUAGUUCUGGCAGAAGAAUGGGAAGGAAAUUCCAAGGAACAGAAUGUGUGUUACUUGGAAGCAUGUGACAAUGUGGUGUGUCUGUGUCUGCAGUCCAGCAAGGAGUUCGACCUCGCUGAAUACUUUGCCUCUGAUACCACAAAGAAGGGUGCUUCUGGAUGUUUACUGCAGCAAGACUUGCAACCCUGGACACUAAGCUACCACCUGAAUGUUCGUGGGUGCCUGUUGUCUACUCAGGAUCCACACCAUGGGCACCACUGUCCCCAAGGAGGGAAGGUAGAGCCCUCCCAGGGUUCUCAGCCUCAGUAUUACUGACUCACUCUGUUGAUAGCCUGUCCUGUGCAGUGUAGGAUGUUUAGCAACAUCCCUGGCCUCUGCCCACUAGAUGCCAGUAGCUCCCCCUCCCACAUUGUGACAACCAACAUUUUCCCUGGGUAUCACCAAAUGUCCCCUGGGUGGGGGCAAAAUUGCUCCCAGGUGAUAAUCACUGCUCUUUAGAACCAACAUAUUAUUAAAAGACCAGAGAAAGACAUGAUCUUAAUUCCUAAUUCUAUGUAAAAAAAAAAGAAAAGUGAAUGUAUGUGCAUGCCCAUAGCUAUAGGAAUUGAUGGCUAAGGUCUAUGGAGCACACUCUUAUGCUCCCCAAGGUUAAAGAAUUUCCAUGAGGAGACAGUGGUGUGACAGAGACACUCAAAGGAGGGUUUAGCCUCUUUCACUCAGUGUACUCUGCAAUGAUUAAAUUGAUUAUAAUAAGAAUGUUUCCAUGUUAUCAGUUGUUUAAAGAAGUUCAAAUAUGCCCUACUCUUAUGGCCAAAGGUAUUUGUAAACAUGUCAAAAAUGGCUAUGGAAGGUCUUGGCAGCAAAGACAGGAAAAGUUAGAAAGUAUAUGUGAGUUCCCUGAGACGGAAGGGAGAAAAACAACGCCAAACUGAAGAUAAGUGUAUCAGUUAUUGCCUACAUGCCAGGAAUACCAUAUGAGAGUUUAAGAAGUUAAAAUAGGCCGGGCGUGGUGGCUCACACCUGUAAUCCCAGC